Molecule: unclassified non-coding RNA, 3690 nt
Organism: Apis florea (little honeybee)
Lineage: Eukaryota; Metazoa; Arthropoda; Insecta; Hymenoptera; Apidae
Source: RefSeq, a predicted model, not a curated record
AUCAAUGGCGCAGCUUCAUAGCGCAUGUGACAACUCGCGGAGUCUGGAGUAUCAGUAGGAAGGAGUCAGAUAGUCCCUCCCUUCUCAUGGGGAUGCUCACAAAAGAGAGUUAAGCAGUGUACGCGUAUCGUGACAACCUAACGUACAAGCGGAACGGUAACAGGUGACAGACCAGUUUUAUCUAUAAGAAAAGAAUUAGAAUAUUAAAAUGAAGGAGCACGAGGCAACAGGAACCUGUCAAAAGAAACCAACGAAACUGCGAAAUCUCAUUUACAAGACUGAAGCUUUUGAUUCUUUGCACGCUGGAAAUGCAGAAAAAACAUUGUGCUCUGGUCAAGUAUGUCUUGGUAGCGUUAUGCAGCUACCGAUUCAUGGUACAGAGCCCCGAUCAAAAGAAGAAAUUCUUGUACAUGCGAAAGAUUUCCUCGAACAAUACUUUUCUUCUAUUAGAAGAUUAAAUAGUGAAGCACAUCGUAUUCGUUGGGAAAGUGUACAAAAAGAAGUCAUAAUUACUGGUACUUAUCAAUUAACUGAAACAGAAUUAGUUUUUGGAGCGAAGAUAGCAUGGCGCAAUGCCACAAGAUGCAUUGGUCGUAUUCAAUGGUCUAAAUUACAGGUAUUUGAUUGCCGUUAUGUCACGACAACUAGCGGCAUGUUUGAAGCUUUAUGCAAUCAUAUUAAAUAUAGCACAAACAAAGGAAAUAUUAGAUCUGCAAUAACAAUAUUUCCGCAACGUACGGAUGGAAAACAUGAUUAUAGAGUGUGGAAUCAUCAAUUAAUAAGUUACGCAGGAUAUAAAAAUCCGGAUGGUACGAUAAUUGGCGAUCCUGCAAAUAUUGAAUUCACUGAGCUAUGUAUGAAAUUAGGUUGGAAAAGUGCACGUACUCGUUUUGACAUAUUACCAUUAAUAUUAUCGGCAAAUGGUCAUGAUCCUGAUUAUUUCGACAUUCCAAAUGAACUUGUUUUAGAAGUACCACUUAGUCAUCCAACAUAUGAUUGGUUUGAAAAGUUAGAAUUAAAAUGGUUCGCAGUUCCUGCUGUAUCUGGAAUGGUAUUUGAUUGCGGAGGAUUAGAAUUUACAGCCGCACCAUUCAAUGGAUGGUAUAUGAGUACUGAAAUUGGAUCGAGAGAUUUAUGCGAUGUUCAACGGUACAAUUUAUUAGAGACAAUUGCAACUCAUAUGGGAUUAGAUACAAGAACAUCUACUUCGUUAUGGAAAGACAAGGCUAUGAUAGAAGCUAAUGUCGCUGUUUUGCAUAGUUUUCAGAUGAAAAAUGUAACAAUUGUAGAUCACCAUACAGCUUCAGAAUCUUUUAUGAAACAUUAUGAAAAUGAAAUGCGAUUAAGAAAUGGAUGUCCAGCUGAUUGGCUAUGGAUAGUACCACCGAUAUCAGGAUCAGCUACACCUGUAUUCCAUCAAGAAAUGGCUCUUUAUUAUUUAAAGCCAUCAUAUGAUGCUCAGGAACCUGCUUGGAAAACACAUGUUUGGAAAAAAGGUCGUGAUAAGAAAUCAACUUCGAAAAAGCCAAGACGAAAAUUUCAUUUUAAGCAAAUUGCAAGAGCAGUAAAAUUUACAUCUAAGCUAUUUGGGAGAGCUUUAUCUCGAAGAAUAAAAGCUACAGUAUUAUUUGCCACGGAAACUGGUACAUCACAAAUGUAUGCUGAAAAACUUAGCGAAUUAUUAGGACACGCUUUUCAUUCGCAGGUACUUUCCAUGUCAGAUUAUGAUAUUAGUAAUAUAGAACACGAAGCUUUAUUAUUAGUUAUAACAUCUACUUUUGGAAAUGGUGAUCCUCCAGAAAAUGGCGAAGCUUUCGCACAAAAUUUAUAUGCAAUGAAAAUGAAUGAAACGUACAUUAAUAGUGGCAAUAAGAUAAGUUUGGCAACUUCAAAAUCAUUUAUUAAAGCAAAUAGUCAAACAGAAGUAAGCAAUUCAAAAAAACUGGAUAGAUUGGAUUCUCUUCGGGGUUCAACCACAGAUUCUCAAACAGAAGAUACUUUUGGUCCUUUGAGCAAUGUUAGAUUUGCUGUUUUUGCAUUGGGAUCAUCAGCAUAUCCAAAUUUUUGUGCAUUUGGUCGUUAUGUGGAUAAUUUAUUAGGUGAAUUAGGUGGAGAACGAUUGUUAAAAUUAGCACAAGGAGAUGAAAUGUGUGGACAAGAACAGGCUUUUCGAAAAUGGGCAGCCGAUACUUUCGCUGUUGCAUGUGAAACUUUUUGUUUAGAUGAUGAUGAUACUUUGCUUGAAGUUGCCUUAUCUUUAGGAUCAGAAGCUUUAUCGGCAGCAACUGUUCGUUUUAUAGAAGCUGAACCCCAACCAAUUGGCAAAGCUUUAAGCAAAUGUCAUAAUAGAAACGUAACUACUUGUAAUAUGUUUCGAAAAACAAAUUUAAGCGGUGAUUCAUCGAGUGGAACUACGUUACUCUUAGAACUCGAUGAUAUAACAAGUAUGGAAAUAUUAUAUAAACCUGGUGAUCAUUUGGGAGUUUUUGCAUGUAAUAGAUCAGAAUUAGUAGAGGCAAUUUUAAAACGAGUACAAACUCCUUUUGAUCCAGACGUACCAAUUGAAUUACAAAUACAGAAGCAAUCUCAUACUCCUAAUGGAAUCGUAAAAACAUGGAUAGCACAUGAUAGAUAUCUACCCAAUUCCUUAAGAAUAUUAUUAAAAAGAUUUUUAGAUAUCACUACACCACCAACACCGAACCUUCUUAGAUACUUUGCGUCCAUUGCUACAAAUCCAAAAGAACAAGCUCAACUCAAUCUUUUAGCUUCUGAUCCAGCUGUUUAUGAGGAUUGGAGACACUGGAAAUUUCCUAAUUUAGUAGAAGUAUUGCAUGAAUUUCCAUCUGUAAGACCUUUUGCACCAUUAUUAUUACUUCAUUUAACUCCUUUGCAACCAAGAUUUUAUAGUAUAUCUUCGUCUCCGGAUGUACAUCAAGGACAAAUACAUCUUACUGUUGCUGUUGUACAAUACAAAACACAAGAUGGUUUUGGACCAAUCCAUUAUGGAGUUUGUUCCAAUUAUUUACGUGAGAUAUCAGACGGAGAACCUCUAUAUGUAUUUGUACGUAGUGCACCUAACUUUUAUAUGCCAUCCGAAUCAAAAGCACCGAUGAUAUUAGUCGGACCAGGAACAGGAAUUGCUCCAUUUCGUGGUUUUUGGCAUCACCGUCUCGCAGAAAUAAAGCGCCGACCAGAUCUCGAAUAUGGAAAAGUCUGGUUAUUUUUUGGUUGUCGUCAAAGAAAUUUAGAUCUAUAUAGACAAGAGAAAGAAGAAAUGGUAGAACUUGGCGUUUUAGAUAAAAUCUUCUUAGCUCUUUCACGAGAACCUGGUUUCAAAAAGGUUAUAAACUCAAAAUGUUUUUUAAAUAAUUUAUAUCACUUUGUUAUACUUGAAAUAUUAUUAUACAUAAUUUUAACAGACAUAUGUACAAGAUUUAAUUCAAGCGGAAGCUUCACAAAUUUAUGAUAUGUUAGUGUAUGAAGGAGGUCAUUUUUACGUUUGUGGUGAUUGUACAAUGGCAGAAGACGUUUAUCAAACUUUAAAACAUAUUAUACAAACUCAUGGUGAAAUGACAGAUAAACAAGUUGAAGCAUAUAUGUUAUCAUUACGUGAUGAAAAUCGUUAUCAUGAAGAUAUAUUUGGUAUCACUUUAAGAACGGCAGAAGUACAUAAUAGAUCAAGAGAAACAG